Molecule: ribosomal RNA, 433 nt
Filed under: uncultured bacterium
Lineage: Bacteria
Description: partial 16S ribosomal RNA
Rfam family: Bacterial small subunit ribosomal RNA
Source: RNAcentral
AGCGAACGCUGGCGGCAGGCCUAACACAUGCAAGUCGAACGAACCUUUCGGGGUUAGUGGCGGACGGGUGAGUAACACGUGGGAACGUGCCUUUAGGUUCGGAAUAACUCAGGGAAACUUGUGCUAAUACCGAAUGUGCCCUUCGGGGGAAAGAUUAAUCGCCUUUAGAGCGGCCCGCGUCUGAUUAGCUAGUUGGUUGAGGUAAUGGCUCACCAAGGCGGCGAUCAGUAGCUGGUCUGAGAGGAUGAUCAGCCACAUUGGGACUGAGACACGGCCCAAACUCCUACGGGAGGCAGCAGUGGGGAAUCUUGCGCAAUGGGCGAAAGCCUGACGCAGCCAUGCCGCGUGAAUGAUGAAGGUCUUAGGAAUGUAAAAUUCUUUCACCGGGGACGAUAAUAACGGUACCCGGAGAAGAAGCCCCGGCAAACUUCGU